GACGAACGCUGGCGGCGUGCCUAAUACAUGCAAGUAGAACGCUGAAGGAGGAGCUUGCUUCUCUGGAUGAGUUGCGAACGGGUGAGUAACGCGUAGGUAACCUGCCUGGUAGCGGGGGAUAACUUUUGGAAACGAUAGCUAAUACCGCAUAAGAGUAGAUGUUGCAUGACAUUUUCUUAAAAGGUGCAAUUGCAUCACUACCAUAUGGACCUGCGUUGUAUUAGCUAGUUGGUGGGGUAACGGCUCACCAAGGCGACGAUACAUAGCCGACCUGAGAGGGUGAGCGGCCACACUGGGACUGAGACACGGCCCAGACGCCUACGGGAGGCAGCAGGAGGGAAUCUGGGGCAAGGGACGGAAGACUGAGCGAGAAACGCCGAGUGAGGGAAGAAGGUUGUCGGAUCGUAAAGGUCGGUUGUAAGAGAAGAACGAGUGUGAGAGUGGAAAGUUCACACUGUGACGGUAACUUACCAGAAAGAGACGGCUAACUACGUG
RNAcentral lists this ribosomal RNA (495 nucleotides) under uncultured bacterium. Its description in RNAcentral is "partial 16S ribosomal RNA". It matches the Rfam family "Bacterial small subunit ribosomal RNA", at positions 28 to 507 of the family's 1533-position model. The record is from RNAcentral.